RNAcentral lists this ribosomal RNA (404 nucleotides) under uncultured bacterium. Its description in RNAcentral is "bacterial SSU rRNA". It matches the Rfam family "Bacterial small subunit ribosomal RNA", at positions 355 to 775 of the family's 1533-position model. The record is from RNAcentral.
UUAGGAAUCUUGGGCAAUGGGGGAAACCCUGACCCAGCAACGCCGCGUGGGUGACGAAGGCCUUCGGGUCGUAAAGCCCUUUUCCCAGGGAAGAUAAUGACGGUACCUGGGGAAUAAGCCCCGGCUAACUACGUGCCAGCAGCCUCGGUAAUACGUAGGGGGCGAGCGUUGUCCGGAUUUAUUGGGCGUAAAACGCUUGUAGGCGGCCACGCCGCGUCGGACGUGAAAUCUCCCGGCUUAACUGGGAGGGGUCGUGCGAUACGGGCGGGCUCGAGGCAGGUAGGGGGAAGCGGAAUUCCCGGUGUAGUGGUGGAAUGCGUAGAUAUCGGGAGGAACACCAGUGGCGAAGGCGGCUUCCUGGACCUGAUCUGACGCUGAGGAGCGAAAGCGUGGGGAGCGAUCCG